RNAcentral lists this ribosomal RNA (433 nucleotides) under uncultured bacterium. Its description in RNAcentral is "partial 16S ribosomal RNA". It matches the Rfam family "Bacterial small subunit ribosomal RNA", at positions 29 to 507 of the family's 1533-position model. The record is from RNAcentral.
AACGAACGCUGGCGGCAUGCCUAACACAUGCAAGUCGAACGAGACCUUCGGGUCUAGUGGCGCACGGGUGCGUAACGCGUGGGAACCUGCCCUUAGGUUCGGAAUAACUCCCCGAAAGGGGUGCUAAUACCGGAUAAUGUCUUCGGACCAAAGAUUUAUCGCCUUUGGAUGGGCCCGCGUUGGAUUAGCUAGUUGGUAGGGUAAAAGCCUACCAAGGCGACGAUCCAUAGCUGGUCUGAGAGGAUGAUCAGCCACACUGGGACUGAGACACGGCCCAGACUCCUACGGGAGGCAGCAGUGGGGAAUAUUGGACAAUGGGCGAAAGCCUGAUCCCGCAAUGCCGCGUGAGUGAUGAAGGCCUUAGGGUUGUAAAGCUCUUUUACCCGGGAUGAUACUGACAGUACCGGGAGAAUAAGCUCCGGCUACCUCCGUG